ACGAACGCUGGCGGCGUGCUUAACACAUGCAAGUCGAACGGAAAGGCCCUGCUUUUGUGGGGUGCUCGAGUGGCGAACGGGUGAUUAACACGUGAGUAACCUGCCCUUGACUUUGGGAUAACUUCAGGAAACUGGGGCUAAUACCGGAUAGGAGUUCCUGCUGCAUGGUGGGGGAUGGAAAGUUUCGGCGGUUGGGGAUGGACUCGCGGCUUAUCAGCUUGUUGGUGGGGUAGUGGCUUACCAAGGCUUUGCCGGGUAGCCGGCCUGAGAGGGUGACCGGCCACAUUGGGACUGAGGGAAGGCACAGACGCCUACGGGAGGAAGCAGUGGGGAAUAUUGCACAAGGGGCGGAAGCCUGAUGCAGCAACGCCGCGUGCGGGAUGACGGCCUUCGGGUUGUAAACCGCUUUCGCCUGUGACGAAGCGUGAGUGACGGUAAUGGGUAAAGAAGCACCGGCUAACUACGUG
RNAcentral lists this ribosomal RNA (467 nucleotides) under uncultured bacterium. Its description in RNAcentral is "partial 16S ribosomal RNA". It matches the Rfam family "Bacterial small subunit ribosomal RNA", at positions 29 to 507 of the family's 1533-position model. The record is from RNAcentral.